Etheostoma cragini (Arkansas darter) is the source of this 105-nucleotide long non-coding RNA. RefSeq lists it as uncharacterized. The record is from RefSeq and is a predicted model, not a curated record. The transcript has 3 exons. Lineage: Eukaryota; Metazoa; Chordata; Actinopteri; Perciformes; Percidae.
UCUUUAACAUAAACAUUAAUACCCAGGUCAGACGUAAACGCAGACAGAUUAGACACAAUUCUGCCAACAGCACACGUAGGCCUACUGCUCAAAACAUAAUGGCGU